Molecule: small nucleolar RNA, 138 nt
Organism: Tachyglossus aculeatus (Australian echidna)
Lineage: Eukaryota; Metazoa; Chordata; Mammalia; Monotremata; Tachyglossidae
Source: RefSeq, a predicted model, not a curated record
CCCCUCUCAGGGUUGCACCUGGAGAGUUUCCAGUCCUCUACUGGUCUCUGCUACGAGAGGGAGAGUGAAGUAGAGGCCUACCCGUUCCAUUCCUAGCUUGGUCAGUGGCUAGUGAGUCGAAGGCAAUCUGCUACAAGU